GUAGUCCACGCCGUAAACGAUGAAUACUAGGUGUAGGGGUUGUCAUGACCUCUGUGCCGCCGCUAACGCAUUAAGUAUUCCGCCUGGGGAGUACGGUCGCAAGAUUAAAACUCAAAGGAAUUGACGGGGGCCCGCACAAGCAGCGGAGCAUGUGGUUUAAUUCGAAGCAACGCGAAGAACCUUACCUAGACUUGACAUCUCCUGCAUUACCCUUAAUCGGGGAAGUUCCUUCGGGGACAGGAAGACAGGUGGUGCAUGGUUGUCGUCAGCUCGUGUCGUGAGAUGUUGGGUUAAGUCCCGCAACGAGCGCAACCUUAUUGUUAGUUGCUACCAUUUAGUUGAGCACUCUAGCGAGACUGCCCGGGUUAACCGGGAGGAAGGUGGGGAUGACGUCAAAUCAUCAUGCCCCUUAUGUCUAGGGCUACACACGUGCUACAAUGGCAAGUACAAAGAGAAGCAAGACCGCGAGGUGGAGCAAAACUCAAAAACUUGUCUCAGUUCGGAUUGUAGGCUGAAACUCGCCUACAUGAAGCUGGAGUUGCUAGUAAUCGCGAAUCAGCAUGUCGCGGUGAAUACGUUCCCGGGCCUUGUACACACCGCCCGUCACACCAUGAGAGUUGGCAAUACCCAACGUACGUGAUCUAACCCGCAAGGGAGGAAGCGUCCUAAGGUAGGGUCAGCGAUUGGGGUGAAGUCGUAACAAGGUAGCCGUAGGAGAACC
This 721-nucleotide ribosomal RNA is filed under the name uncultured bacterium. RNAcentral's name for it is "bacterial SSU rRNA". It matches the Rfam family "Bacterial small subunit ribosomal RNA", at positions 790 to 1512 of the family's 1533-position model. The record is from RNAcentral.